GGGCCUAUAGCUCAAUGGUCAGAGCAGAGGACUCAUAAUCCUUUGGUUCCAGGUUCGAGUCCUGGUGGGCCCACCA
This 76-nucleotide transfer RNA is filed under the name Rhodanobacter thiooxydans. RNAcentral describes it as "tRNA-Ile". It matches the Rfam family "tRNA". Rfam says of the family: Transfer RNA (tRNA) molecules are approximately 80 nucleotides in length. Their secondary structure includes four short double-helical elements and three loops (D, anti-codon, and T loops). The record is from RNAcentral. Lineage: Bacteria; Pseudomonadati; Pseudomonadota; Gammaproteobacteria; Lysobacterales; Rhodanobacteraceae. RNAcentral also lists the same sequence under 33 other names.